Molecule: ribosomal RNA, 465 nt
Filed under: Vreelandella stevensii
Lineage: Bacteria; Pseudomonadati; Pseudomonadota; Gammaproteobacteria; Oceanospirillales; Halomonadaceae
Description: partial 16S ribosomal RNA
Rfam family: Bacterial small subunit ribosomal RNA
Source: RNAcentral
CCUACGGGAGGCUGCAGUGGGGAAUAUUGGACAAUGGGGGGAACCCUGAUCCAGCCAUGCCGCGUGUGUGAAGAAGGCCCUCGGGUUGUAAAGCACUUUCAGUGAGGAAGAACGCCUGGUGGUUAAUACCCAUCAGGAAAGACAUCACUCACAGAAGAAGCACCGGCUAACUCCGUGCCAGCAGCCGCGGUAAUACGGAGGGUGCGAGCGUUAAUCGGAAUUACUGGGCGUAAAGCGCGCGUAGGUGUCUUGAUAAGCCGGUUGUGAAAGCCCCGGGCUCAACCUGGGAACGGCAUCCGGAACUGUCAAGCUAGAGUGCAGGAGAGGAAGGUAGAAUUCCCGGUGUAGCGGUGAAAUGCGUAGAGAUCGGGAGGAAUACCAGUGGCGAAGGCGGCCUUCUGGACUGACACUGACACUGAGGUGCGAAAGCGUGGGUAGCAAACAGGAUUAGAUACCCGAGUAGUC